GGAUCCCAGCCCCCAUAUCUAAUUUUCUGUGUGUGUAUGUGUAUAUAUAUAUAUAUAUAUAUAUAUAUAUAUAUAUAUAUAUAUAUAUAUAAUACAUACAUACACACAGAAAAUUAGAUAUGGGGGCUGGGAUCC
Non-coding RNA from Pelobates cultripes (western spadefoot toad), 135 nucleotides. The record is from the annotation of a GenBank genome assembly. NCBI's taxonomy places the organism in Eukaryota, Metazoa, Chordata, Amphibia, Anura, Pelobatidae.